Molecule: unclassified non-coding RNA, 301 nt
Filed under: Archaeospora sp.
Lineage: Eukaryota; Fungi; Glomeromycota; Glomeromycetes; Archaeosporales; Archaeosporaceae
Description: partial contains 5.8S ribosomal RNA and internal transcribed spacer 2
Rfam family: 5.8S ribosomal RNA (bases 1-70)
Source: RNAcentral
GUGAAUCAUCGAAUUUUUGAACGCAUAUUGCACUCUCUGUAUUCCGGAGAGUAUGCCUAUUUGAGGGUCAUUUGAAAUAAUAUAAAUUCCAAGAUUUCUCGGAAUUUAAAAUGGGUUGUCCAUUUUUUGUGGUCGCCUAAAAUCCAAGACAAGCUCAUUUUCUUGGGUUGCGUGAUACUUUCAGUUACCUCGUGACUUAACCAGGAAUCAUCGGGCGUGUUAUGAAUUGUGCAAGAAAUAAACUUCAUUUAUCUCGAGCUCAAUAUUAAAUUGAAUCAUGACCUCAAAUUAGGUAGGGGUA